RNAcentral lists this ribosomal RNA (449 nucleotides) under uncultured bacterium. RNAcentral's name for it is "partial 16S ribosomal RNA". It matches the Rfam family "Bacterial small subunit ribosomal RNA", at positions 29 to 523 of the family's 1533-position model. The record is from RNAcentral.
AACGAACGCUGGCGGCAUGCCUAACACAUGCAAGUCGAACGAGACCUUCGGGUCUAGUGGCGCACGGGUGCGUAACGCGUGGGAAUCUACCCUUGGGUUCGGAAUAACAGUUAGAAAUGACUGCUAAUACCGGAUGAUGACGUAAGUCCAAAGAUUUAUCGCCCAAGGAUGAGCCCGCGUAAGAUUAGCUUGUUGGUGGGGUAAUGGCCUACCAAGGCGACGAUCUUUAGCUGGUCUGAGAGGAUGAUCAGCCACACUGGGACUGAGACACGGCCCAGACUCCUACGGGAGGCAGCAGUGGGGAAUAUUGGACAAUGGGCGAAAGCCUGAUCCAGCAAUGCCGCGUGAGUGAUGAAGGCCUUAGGGUUGUAAAGCUCUUUUACCAGGGAUGGUAAUGACAGUACCUGGAGAAUAAGCUCCGGCUAACUCCGUGCCAGCAGCCGCAGUAA